AGUGAACGCUGGCGGUAGGCCUAACACAUGCAAGUCGAACGGCAGCACAGUAAGAGCUUGCUCUUACGGGUGGCGAGUGGCGGACGGGUGAGGAAUACAUCGGAAUCUACUUUUUCGUGGGGGAUAACGUAGGGAAACUUACGCUAAUACCGCAUACGACCUACGGGUGAAAGCAGGGGAUCUUCGGACCUUGCGCGAUUGAAUGAGCCGAUGUCGGAUUAGCUAGUUGGCGGGGUAAAGGCCCACCAAGGCGACGAUCCGUAGCUGGUCUGAGAGGAUGAUCAGCCACACUGGAACUGAGACACGGUCCCGACUCCUACGGGAGGCAGCAGUGGGGAAUAUUGGACAAUGGGCGCAAGCCUGAUCCAGUCAUACCGCGUGGGUGAAGAAGGCCUUCGGGUUGUAAAGCCCUUUUGUUGGGAAAGAAAAGCAGCAGGUUAAUACCCCGCUGUUCUGACGGUACCCAAAGAAUAAGCACCGGCUAACUUCGUG
Molecule: ribosomal RNA, 492 nt
Filed under: uncultured bacterium
Lineage: Bacteria
Description: partial 16S ribosomal RNA
Rfam family: Bacterial small subunit ribosomal RNA
Source: RNAcentral